UCCAGGACUGGAGUGGGUGGCCGAGGAAUUGGCUUUUCUACUUUUUCAAGGAAACAGAGGGACUUCUUUGGCUCCUUGACUUUAUUCUUCUUUUCCAGCAGUGCCUGGAAGAGACAUACAAUCUAAUCAGAACUGGGCUAGACAGAACAACACAGUAAGGCCAGUCCUCUAGAUGCUGGCUGUUCCUGAUCACACUGACUACAGGGAGCUGAAAGUAUUUUGCACUUUGUAGGCUUGUGGCUUCUAUUUCUUCCUGCACGUCAACUGAAAAACUGCAUAUAGUCAGUAGAUGAGGCUGUUGGUUGGUCAGAAGAUACUGGUGGGAAAGAACUUCAAAAUCAUAUGUAAGAAGGAAGCAAGAGUUAUUUUGCUAUAUUUACAAGUAAGUCAUCAGAAAUUGCUUAGAGUGAGUCACCUAAAAAUCUAAAAUUGGUAUGAGUUUAAUCUCUAAUAUAAUAUAUUCUUUAGUAAAAGCAUAUUUCAGAUUUUGUUUUCAUUUUAAAACAGAAAUUUCAUUGAACCAAUUAAACACUGACCCAUAUGCAAGCAGAGGCAGUUGUGUCUCUUACUUUCCAUACUCAAUGACAAAAAGAUUAAUGAUUUUCCUGUAAGAUAGAGGUAAGAAUCUUUCAAAACAUGAGAAAUGGGUAGAAAUAUCACAAUCUAAUUAUGGUUUGUAUGUCACUACAGAAUGGUUGUAACUCUUUGCCUUUAACUAUAGGUAUAACGCUUGUUACUGAGAGUUAGAACUGUUACGCAGUCAGAUUUUAUGAAGAGGGUCACUUGAAGAGUGUCUUGCCACUGUUCUGUGGCCCCUCCUUGGUGAAAUGUCUUUGUAUGAUGUGCUAUUACUGCCCACGGUUGACCAAAUGACCCAGGAACACUUUCUUGUAACUUAUGUUUUGAAACUCUUCCCUGCUCGUCUGCAACUGCCCAGUGGCACCCACAGCAAUUGUACGGGUGGCGUAAGUGUGAAAGGGAAACUGCCUGAGACCUUCCUUCUACCAAGAAAAUCCACAAGCUCGUUAAGAGUGGGUUUCAUCUUGCUUGCAGCUGUUUGGUAGCAGGUGCCAAACCUUGUCAGCCAAAGCAGGCUAGGAGUGGCGAUGCCACCACAGCCUCAACUCUUUCAAGUAAUUUUCAAACUGUUCAAGUCCUGCCAACCUCCCAUUGCAAGCUACUAUUGUCAUUUCCAACUGCACAGAAAAGCUUGCCUGCUGUAGGACAUCACACUUCAGCUUGCAAAGGGAAGGGAAGAGAGUACGUGCAUUUAAAGCUCCUUCAAAAUUAUAAUUCCACUACUGUACAGGUUGGAUCUGUAGCCUUUAUUACUGAAUGAACAGAUACAUUUCAGCAAGGAAAAAAUGUGCCUUUUUCUUUUCUCGCUGUCUCUAUUUCAAAUGUUCAAAUACCGUAUUUCACUAGGGAGCAAAACUGAAGAAAAACUUGAGAAAAAAAAUCCCAUGCUGAAUUUCUCUCUCCAGUAACAGGACAUUGAUGGCACUUGCACAGAAUCUAAUUGUGAAAGUGAUGAAGUUUUGAAACUCCAGUGGUCAUUGUACAAAAUUCUUCUUGCAUAUUGGAUCUGACCAUUCAGGCCAGGAUAAGUAAUUGCUCCAGAAAAGGAGAGAGGUUCCUAGGUGGACAGGAUAAAAUGCUUUAUUAUUGAAACCUUCUGCAAUGGACCAUGUUAAUAACGCAAGAAUCAAAGCCUAUAAACUGCUUAUAAGCCAUGUGAAAUGGUUAUAGCUCAAAAUUGAUGAGAGAUUUUCUGAACUGUUUCUUGUAUUUGAUGACCUUAGAGCUCGCUGGCAUGAAGAUUAUAAUAGUGUUUGCUAUGAUUUAGAAGCUGUUUUGCAUGACAGGGUGGGGAAUUGAAAGAAAAAAGCUGCUCUAAUUGUGAUUCUUUUGAAAACAAUGGCUCCUAUGUUUAUCAGUACAAUGUUGCAUUCAUAAGAAUUUAAUAAAACCUUAGCCUCCAAAAAUAUUUCUUGCUAACCAGAACAAAAUACAACCAGAAUAACAACUUUAAAGCCAGAAAAAUCUAUGAGCACUUCUGACACAAGGGAAUUCUUAUUAAUGUAGAUUUGAGAAAUACUGCAGGUCCCAGAAGUGGUUUUAAGUUUUCCUGCCAUCUUUGCUAAAUCAAAAAUGCUUACCAUUUGCUUUCUCUAAUCUGAGGAUUUAAGUUAUUUUAAGAUUUUAAUUUAUUUCAAGAUUUUCAUGUAAGAAAAGAAAAAGAAAAUAUGUUUUUUGCAUUAACUGGUUCUGCCUAACUUACAAGAAGUUACCACUUUUCGUAACAGGGGGAGCAGGGCCCAAGAAUCACUGUAAAAUACUUUCUUUAAAAAGAAAAAAGUAUUAAAUUUCUGAACAACAUACUUCAAAUGUUACUGCCUAGAUAUCACACUCUAAUUUUUCUGAGAUCAGACUACAUUACCUUUUUCAGAUAGUAGGUUCAGAGUCAUGAUAUACUCUGGUUGGACUGGACAGUGAAGGACCACCCAGUUCAACCCCUUUUCAUUUUCCAGGCAAAUGCAGCAAGCAGCAAACGGCACCCGUGCUCUUGGCCCUGCACCUUAGCUUCUCUGCUAGCAUCUGAUAGAAGCAGAACUCUUGACAGGAUAGUGGCUUGAGAAACAACUGUCUCUUCAAAGAAAUCAUUCUUCGGAUUCCUUCCUUAUCUUCUUUGUGAUCCUCUCCCUUUCACAAGACACUAGGUAUAAUUUAUUUUCAUGUACAGCACAGAGUUUACAGUCAUGUUUCUCUUUUUUCCUUUUUGCCCACAAAUGAAGAAGGUGAGAUCAUCAAGGACAAACUGACUGGAUGGCUGCUGCAUCUUGCGUGAUCAAGACUGACAUAAUAGCUCUUAGAGCUUGUCUGAGCAUGAGCCAGCUAACACUGUGUUGGAGAUCUGUUCUUGAUGAAAUAACUGCUUGAACAGGUUUUCCUGCGCUUUGAAGUUGGCAGAGAUUUUCUCCAGAGAUUUUCUCAGCCCCCCCACUACUUCUCCACCUCCUUCCAGCAACCAGAUAAAGGAAAACAGAUGGGAUGAGAGUCGUGCUUAAUGCUGAGCCUUCUGAUGAUUUUGCCAGUGGUCAUCCAAGCGCUUGGCAUCCAGCUCAGUCUGAUUCUCCUCUCGCCUCUGCAGCAGCUUCUUUAAGAUCACCAGCCGAACCUCCUGCAACCUGCAAGAAUAGAAAAGGCCAGAACAAAAAUGGAAUUCUAAUGUAAGCAUGUGCAACUUCCAUUGACUCUACUAGGAACUGAAUCUUCUUACGUCCCCUCAACAUCUGAUCCUCAUUGAAACCCACACUGGACUACCUCAUGGAUGCUCUACACCACUGAACAGUAUUGCAAGUAUCACGGAGACUGUAAUAAAAUAUCAGAAGAUUUUCCAACAAUAAUGCUGCCUUGGAUUGGUAUCUCUUCUAGGAUUCAGAGACACCUGACUUUGGUUUUGGGCUUCAUAAUCAUAAUACAAUUGAGGCACAUGUCCUUAACCCACAAAGCACCAUUCACAUACUGCAAGCAAAUUCUGAAGCAGUUGGUCACCUGUUUCCUCAGGAACUCUCAAUGGUGAACGAACCCUUACCUCUUAACAAGGUUUUCCUGUUGGUUCAUUAUGAAAAAUAUUGGUCACCAGCUCAAUAUUUUCCCACCCUUUUUCUGGUGAGAUGUGACCCAUUGCAACAGUAAUGUUCCAGAAC
Long non-coding RNA from Falco peregrinus (peregrine falcon), 3710 nucleotides. RefSeq lists it as uncharacterized. NCBI's taxonomy places the organism in Eukaryota, Metazoa, Chordata, Aves, Falconiformes, Falconidae. The transcript has 3 exons. The record is from RefSeq and is a predicted model, not a curated record.